CCUACGGGUGGCUGCAGUGGGGAAUAUUGGACAAUGGGCGAAAGCCUGAUCCAGCCAUGCCGCGUGUGUGAAGAAGGCCUUCGGGUUGUAAAGCACUUUCAGUGGGGAAGAAAGCCUUGGGGCUAAUACCCUCGAGGAAGGACAUCACCCACAGAAGAAGCACCGGCUAACUCCGUGCCAGCAGCCGCGGUAAUACGGAGGGUGCGAGCGUUAAUCGGAAUUACUGGGCGUAAAGCGCGCGUAGGCGGUCUGAUAAGCCGGUUGUGAAAGCCCCGGGCUCAACCUGGGAACGGCAUCCGGAACUGUCAGGCUUGAGUGCAGGAGAGGAAGGUAGAAUUCCCGGUGUAGCGGUGAAAUGCGUAGAGAUCGGGAGGAAUACCAGUGGCGAAGGCGGCCUUCUGGACUGACACUGACGCUGAGGUGCGAAAGCGUGGGUAGCAAACAGGAUUAGAUACCCUGGUAGUC
This 465-nucleotide ribosomal RNA is filed under the name Vreelandella stevensii. Its description in RNAcentral is "partial 16S ribosomal RNA". It matches the Rfam family "Bacterial small subunit ribosomal RNA", at positions 338 to 795 of the family's 1533-position model. Lineage: Bacteria; Pseudomonadati; Pseudomonadota; Gammaproteobacteria; Oceanospirillales; Halomonadaceae. The record is from RNAcentral.